This 468-nucleotide ribosomal RNA is filed under the name uncultured bacterium. Its description in RNAcentral is "partial 16S ribosomal RNA". It matches the Rfam family "Bacterial small subunit ribosomal RNA", at positions 28 to 507 of the family's 1533-position model. The record is from RNAcentral.
GACGAACGCUGGCGGCGUGCUUAACACAUGCAGGUCGAACGGAAAGGCCCUGCUUUUGUGGGGUGCUCGAGUGGCGAACGGGUGAGUAACACGUGAGUAACCUGCCCUUGCCUUUGGGAUAACUUCCGGAAACUGGGGCUAAUACCGGAUAGGAGCUCCUGCUGCAUGGUGGGGGUUGGAAAGUUACGGCGGUUGGGGAUGGACUCGCGGCUUAUCAGCUUGUUGGCGGGGUAGUGGCUUACCAAGGCUUUGACGGGUAGCCGGCCUGAGAGGGUGACCGGCCACAUGGGGACUGAGAUACGGCCCAGACUCCUACGGGAGGCAGCAGUGGGGAAGAUUGCACAAUGGGCGGAAGCCGGAUGCAGCAACGCCGCGUGCGGGAUGACGGCCUUCGGGUUGUAAACCGCUUUCGCCUGUGACGAAGCGUGAGUGACGGUAAUGGAUAAAGAAGCACCGGCUAACUACGUG